Molecule: ribosomal RNA, 119 nt
Filed under: Salmo salar (Atlantic salmon)
Lineage: Eukaryota; Metazoa; Chordata; Actinopteri; Salmoniformes; Salmonidae
Source: RNAcentral
GCUUACGGCCAUACCAGCAUGGGUACGCCCGAUGUCGUCUAAUCUCGGAAGCUAAGCAGGGUCGGGCCUGGUUAGUACUUGGAUGGGAGACCGCCUGGGAAUACCAGGUGCUGUAAGAA